UACGUAGGGUGCAAGCGUUGCCCGGAUUUAUUGGGCGUAAAGGGCGCGUAGGCGGCUCUGCACGUUCGUUGUGAAAUCGCCCGGCUCAACUGGGCGGGGUCAGCGGAUACGGCAGAGCUUGAGCAAGCUAGGGGGCAAUGGAAUUCCCGGUGUAGUGGUGGAAUGCGUAGAUAUGCGGAGGAACACCGAUGGCGAAGGCAAUCCCCUGGGCCUGCACUGACGCUCAUGCACGAAAGCGUGGGGAGCAAACAGG
RNAcentral lists this ribosomal RNA (253 nucleotides) under uncultured bacterium. Its description in RNAcentral is "partial 16S ribosomal RNA". It matches the Rfam family "Bacterial small subunit ribosomal RNA", at positions 524 to 776 of the family's 1533-position model. The record is from RNAcentral.